UGGCAAUGAUGUUUGAAUUUCUUCACCUGAAUCCUUAUGUGGAUCAAAACACGAGCUUUUUAAAUCUGAGCAGA
Molecule: small nucleolar RNA, 74 nt
Organism: Notolabrus celidotus (New Zealand spotty)
Lineage: Eukaryota; Metazoa; Chordata; Actinopteri; Labriformes; Labridae
Source: RefSeq, a predicted model, not a curated record